AAAAAAGUUCUUGAGUUAUUGACAGAUGUCUUUUCACUAUCAAUGGAUUAUGGCAAAAGCUAAUACGAGACGGCUUCUUCAUAUUAAAACUUACAAUUACUUUUAGAUCCAUUAUCAAAAUUCUUCACUGAUCAGAAUCUAGGACAAAAGAAAAACCAUUCUCUAUAAAAAUUAUAAAUAUAAGCUUAAUCAAUUAGAUUCAGACUUAAUGAGCACCGAAAAGCAAAACUUUAAAGGUGAUAGAGAAUGAAAAAAAAAUUACAAGCGCUAGUAGAUUCAGAAGAUGCGAGGAUUAUCGAAUGUUUACCAUUGAGUCGAAAUCAGUUGACAAAUCAAGAAGGAUGGCAUUUUACAAAAAAAAAGUUGAAGAUAUACGGUUAAAUCUGGUUACCAAGUGGAAAGAAAGUAUCCUGAUAUAGUUAGAGCACCACCAAUGUUUGGACAGACUAUUACAUCUCUGAAGUGUUUUUUUUUUGAAAAUUCGGUGUCUCCCCUAGGAUUAAACACUUUUUACAGAAAAUUGUUGCAUGUUGUUUAUCGGUGAAGAAAAAUCUAUAUGCAAGAGGUAUACAAUGCAGCAUGUAGUGUGCCAGAUGUGACACAGAGGAAGAAACCAUUAAUCAUGUGUUCUUCGAGUGCCCACCUGUAAUUCAAACAUGGGCACUUUCAACAGUUCCUACAAACCCGGAUAAAUUCCCUUCGCAUUCAAUUUUUGUAAACAUGGAUUACUUAUUUUGUAGAAUAACACUGCAAGGAGAGAAUCAUCAUUUUGUUUGGAUCUUAUGGUAUAUUUGGAAGGGACGUAAUAAUAUGGUCUUCAACAACAUAAAUACAGAUCCCAUAGAAACUCUUCAAUUGGCAGUAACAGAAACAACAAUUUGGUUUGGGGCACAUGCACAAGUAAUAAGUCUGGUUGUUCAGUUAUCCAAAUUGGAGGAUGAAGACUUACCUCAACGAUUGGACCACUAGAGUUUUAUUGAUGACUCAUGCAUGGAAGGACGAGGAAAUUUACUCGGGUCAAUGAUGGUAUAGAACUAUGGAAGGUUUUGAAUGACCCAUGGGGGGAAGAAAUACGAGGCCCAAUAUUUCAUCCUUACAUGCAGAGAUCGAAGCCUUCAUUUGGGCUAUGGAAAACAUAAAGAAUUUAAAACAAUUUCAUGUAACUUUUGCAACAGAUUAUUUUUAAUUGGUAAAGAUGAUUUUAAAACCGUAAGAUUGACAUGCAUUUGCAUCAUACUUGGAAGAUAUUCGCAUCCUCAGGAGAAGCUUCAGUCACUUAGAGAUUAUUCAUGUAUCAAGAGUGAAUAACGUAAGUGCAGACAAUCUAAUAUGCAGUGUUAGUAAAUAAUUGUCGUACGUUGUUCACAUAGACACAAAGUUAUCAGUUUAGCUGACAUAGUUUUAAUUGAGUCAAUUUAAGUUGAUGACAAAAAAAAAACUUUACCACAAAAUUUGAUCAAAAUCACAAUAUUAUAUAUAUUUCUCCAAACUCAUCAAAUCAAAUUCAAAAAUAUAUUGUAAAGAAUAUAUCACGUAAUAAAAUGAAAAUUUCUUAUUAAGAUGAGAUUUGUAGUGUAUCAACAUGAUUGUGGGAACUGAAAUUUACACUGUCGAUUUCCGUGAUUGGAGGAAAGUCAAGAAGCCCUAACUUUUUCUGAGGUCCUGGAUUCUCUGCGAGAGCCAACGUCAAGUGACCAAAUAAAUGUGGAAAACAUGAAAAAACAACAAAACAAAUUUAUGGAGAGAGUAGAUCUUUAUUUUGAAUCUGCGUAAGAGCGUUGCGAUUAUUACAAAAGAUUAUAAAAUCUUCGGACGCAAGAGCUGUCAUCGAGUCCCCUAGUUUUAGCUACCAAAAACCUUAAACCUAGUUGAGUCGCAGCUCAAUAACAACAAACAAAAAUGAUACAAAAAAGAUUUUGUUGAUUUUCGGACUGAACCUUAUGAAAGGCUACCUACGUACACGUUUCGAUGAUCAAGUUGAACAUAUUUCAAUUAAAAGAGUGGAACAAGAGAUCGAACUGCAUGUGUGAGUUCAUCUAGUAAUUGAGCGAGGCAUAGGAACUGAGCAUGUCGAGUAUAAUGCUUAAAAUUCUUAAGUGCAGAGAGUUCUAAAAGUAUAAAAAGAGUCAUUUUUGUGCUCCUUGCUUCGGCUCUCCUUAUAUUCCUUCAAGGUUGGGCAUCCUUUCCUUUUCUGCCCUUGGGCCCAAGUUUAUCUAUUCGCGGAAAUAUCUCCUUUUUUCCAAUCUUCGUAAUUAUCCUUCGAAACUUGACAUUUAUCUUCUCUUGUGAAUAUUAGAUAGACCAUCAUAGUAGUUUUGGGCUCAUUCUCGUCCAAAAUCGUAAGUGGGCUUUUGCCGUGUUAUAGAACCUUUCCAAGCCGUGCUAUCGACUCAUGUGUUCUUACGAUUUCUUUGAGAAAUCAUAUUUGGUACGAUGUCGGUUUUGCGAACCAAUUGUGUAGUCAAGAUAAUUAUGGUGUUAAGUUAACCGUUAUCGUUUUACACGAUUGAUUUAAAUUCAUACGAGAAAACAAGUCUUUGUUAAAUUUAUCGUAAAGUUUAAACGGUAAUUCCAAUCGAGACGAAACAAGAGACAUGUUAGUCGAGGCUCGAAGGGGGAGAGCUGGUCGCCUUAUGGCGAGUUGGACGUGGUCCGUCCUACUCGCUUUAUGGUGAUUUGGACGAGGUUUGUCGAUCUUGAUCCUACUAGGCCGAUGGCGAGUUGGACGUGGUCGACCCUACUCGCCAUAUGGCGAGUUGGACGAGGGCGAGGUCGUUUUGAUAUUUUGGAGAUUUCUAUUUAGAACUUUUCUUAUUUCGAGAAAGUUUCUUAAGAGUAGCAAUCUUAGACGUUGAUUCCAUAAAUCGCCAAGAGCUUCGUAUACUUUUGGAACCAUUUCGUUUGGUUUACGAAUUUUUUUUGUAAACGUUUUUCGAAAGUUGAUUUGCGGAAGAUUAUCUCAUAGAUUAUGCUAUGAUGUUUUUCCGCGGAAACUUUCUGGAUUUUGUUUGAUGGAAGACUGUUUCAUAGAACUCAUUUAUCGUAAAAACCUUCUCCGAGAACGUUUUUCCGAUCAUGUUUGGGUAGAAAUAUACGAAUUUUGUUCUUGUAUCCUUAUGCAAAUUAGUUUUGCUUAUGCCGUAUAAUUUCACCGACAUUUUCAGAUCUUAUUUUCUUAAGGCAUGAGUUCUCUGAGGGUUUGAGCAGUUGAUUUUGCCAUGACCGAUUUUGACCCCAACAAUAAUAUAUGUAAAAAAGAAAAAUAUUGAUUCUAAAACAAUUGGAAAAAAUAACUCAAAGAAAGAAAAAAUAGAUAUAUUUAGAUGUUAAAUCUGUAAAAAAGAAAAAAUAUUUAGAGUGAUUGGUUUAGGAAUGAAAUUAUUACUUCAGUGCAUGCAGUUCAGUGUAUAACAAUAAAUCUGAGUGUAUACUAUCGCUCUUAGAUAUCAACUAUAAAUAAAAACAACUAAUUUGAGGCUUUUUAGAAGUGCCAUAUAGGACAAAAUAUUCCCCACCAAUCAAGCUGCCAGGUUAUCGCGGAUGUUUAACUGACGGCCCCGAACCAUUGAAACCCGUCAAGAUAACAGCCCGUUUGCAAAGGUUUAUGUUUGUCUUUCCAACUCUGGCUUAACAGCAAAAAUAUUCAUUCAAUAAAGCUCUAUAGUCUCUUGACUCUAACCUCAUCCGCUUAUAGACCUUCAACCUUCCUCCUCUCAGAAAUCACCGGUUACGAUAUGGAGUCGUUUAUCACAGCCAAUAUCCCCGUUUAACACUUACUGCUGAUGGAACCCAAAGACUACCCAAAGACUUAAGAAACAAGUUACGUCAAUUUUCUCUUUUCAUAUCCUCAUUCAAAUACAUCGAUAGCUAUAUAUACAUGAAAGACCAAGUAACUACACUACUAUCCCAUUAGCAUUACACGUUAAAUAAUUCCACCAAUAUAGGAGCAACACUAAUACACGUAUUUCUAAACCCUAAUAACUGUUUACUCUCAUCAAACUGCUACCAUUAAUUUCUUCCCCAAAGCAUAAAACCGUCAACUAUUUGGCUUCCCCUCACCAAUUCUAUAAAAUCCGUCAUAGUUAGAAAGCAUGAUCUCUCUAACAACAAGCUUCUGGUCAGAAAAGCUGAGGAAAUUCGCCGCCUUUCUGGCGCUCAGUUCAAUCAUCCAUCAUCGGCGUUGUAAGACAUCGCCUGUAUUUGAUUUUAUAUAUACUCUGUUUCAUCUAUUUUAUCAUUGGAUUUGACAGGGUGAGAUCUGUAAAGAUGUGAUCUAUCUGAAAAUUGCAGCCUAUCAAAAAUUCACAAUUGAAUUAGCUUCAGUUGUGUGUAUAUCUAAAGUAUCUUACUUUUACUUACACUCGUGUCUAUUCAAUGUUAUAGAUUAUUUUCAAAAUACAUGCAGCGAUUAAGUUGAGUCGUAUGUCCGAAAACGCAUUCACGAGAUCAUUCAAUAGCCUGCAAAACAUUGUUGGAGUCAAGAUUAAGCUUAAUAUAAAAGCACUAGCAGUUCAGAGUGGCUGAGGAAGAGUAAUCAAAUCCGAGCAAAACAUGUUACCUUUUUAUAUAUUUGCAGGUUAUCAGUUUGACAUGUAUUUGACUGGACAAUCUUGAAGUAUCCACAGUUUGGCUCUAGCUCCACUCUAGCUCAAAACCAAGAUCGAGUCUUACACGUUAACCAGCUUUGUAUCCUCCAGCGCCAUCUGGUGAGAGACCAGAGAAACCUUCGGGUGAGCUUUUAACUGUACUACCCGCAUAUGAAAUAAUUGUUAGCAUCUUAUCUCUAGAGCUAUUUGUAUACCUGUCACAUGUGUUGCUAAGUUCCUUCUUGAGGUUUUUUAAUAAGACAUUCAAGAUUUCUUUUCAUUAAGUGCCUUUUUCCAGUUGAUGUUCAUUUAAUAAGUCUAUGGUCUAUCUCAGUCACUUUAGACACCAAAACUUUUCUAUUUCUGUUAAAUUUCUAAUAGUAAACUUCAUGUAAUUUCUAUGAAAUCAGCAACAACACUAACAGUUUCAUGUGUCAUGCAUGAGUUGAGUUUGCAUGUGUUAAAUAUUCGUUAAAAAGAUUUGGUUAGUUUGGGGCACAUCUGUUUUUUUUAAAAGAUUCGGUUACAGGGAAUGCAAGACAAUCAUCAUUUUGUAACUGCUGUUAUUCUCAUAGAUUAAUUAUAUGGCCAGAUUAUUCCACUGCAUCUACUGAUAGUUACAAUUUUAAAAUGCCUAACUAUGGCAUUGUCAUUCUACCUCACACACACAAAAAAAUUCUAAAGCAAUUGUGCUACAAAAAAUCUACAAAAUUGUUUGAAUAAAUAUGUUUCUCACAUGUUUGGGUAUGAUUCUUACAGAACCUGCAAACCUGUAGCUUUGGCUAAGCUGAGGAAGAAGCAAGAGAGGAAGAAGGAAAUGAAUUAAAUGAUGAAUCGCAAACUUACUGGCUGUUCCAACAGAUAAUUGUGAAGGUGAUGUGUCAAGCUCUGGUCUGGUAGAGACUAAAGAAAGGGUAUUAUAAGCAAAAAGGCUGAGUGAGGAAAGUAAUUGAUAAUUGUAUACUUGAGUCAACAAUAAAAAUUUAUAUAUUCUAUACAUUUGAUUUUUUUUGGCACAAAAAAAUUCAAAAAUUUGUAAGUUUUUAAUUUUUUUUUCGACCAAAAUAUUUGUGAAUAAUAUGAAGAUUUUGGUGACUUUGAUGACGGGGAGAAAUAAAAAUUGAAUAUUUUGUCAAACUAUAGUCGUAACAAGCGUCAGCUUAUAAUUAUAUAAUGAUAAUAUGAUAUAGAACGUAAAACCAUAUGUUGUUGAGUCUGAAGAAGGAUAAAUGAGAUUAUCUAAAUUUCUUCAUAAUAUGAAGAGUAUGGAAAAUGCGUAACAAUAGUCUUCCAGCAGAAAAGAGAUCACAUUGUGAAAGAUCAUCCUCAAUUAGAGCUACAAACACAUCACUAAAACCAAAAGCAGAGGCAUUGCGAAUGGCAGUCAAGCAAAUGAGGAUGCUAAAUUUUAAGAAAGUUGCUUUCAUCAGUGAUUGCAAACCAAUCAUAUGUGUUGCAACAAUAUACCGGUCAAACAACCAUCCCAAAGGUCCGUACCACAGAGUCUCCAUGUUACAAGAUAUAAUGGAAAGCUCCAAAUCUUAUGAUUUCUCCUUUUGUUAUGUCCCUACAAAUAGGCUGACUUUGGUGGAUGAAUUAGCCAAGAAUUCUAGAUGUAACAAUCAAAGCUAUGUAAUACGUUGGUUCUAAAUUUAUAUUAAAAUAUGUUGAAAAAAAAUAUAGCAAAUAAACUUAUUAAAUUAAAUACAAUGUAAUUAUUUGUUUCACAAUUAUAUGUACAUUGUUCGCCUCAACACCAAGAACACACUUCUACUUUAAAAACACCGUUGACAUUAUACAUAAAUUUGACAAGAGGAACAUAAUAAACUCUCAAUAUGCACUCAACCAACUUAGUAUCCUAUGUGAAAUACAACUCUCAACAACAUAUAACAAUUACAACAUAUACAAUUUGUAUUAAGUGAGACUGAUUCUAUAAAUUUGUUAUUUAAACAAUAUCAUAAAUUCUAAAAUUUUAUAAACCAUAAUCCCCUCGUAGCGCGGACCACGAUCUAGUAGCUAUAAAACUAAUUUGUGAUUUUGAAAAAUACAUGGUAGAUACCUGAGAUACUUAAAUACAUUAGAUACUUAAAAUACACGAAAGCUGGUGUAUAUAUAUAUAUAUAUUUUCUUUUCUUAUAGUACAAUCUUCACCAUUUCCCUACUUAGUGAAUUAUUUAUCUUAUCAAAUUCAAAUACUACUGGUAAUAUUGCGGAUCUAAUUGGUUGAAACUGUGAUACUAACUUUGUUGCAGAAUUUUGGUGUAAUUUUUAAUAAGAAUCUAGCUGAUAAUAUUAUGUGUUAUAAGAUUCACAGAUUUGUUAAGUACUUUUUUUAUGUCAUAGGAAAAUAAGUGUCUACAGCCAAAAAAAAAAUAUUUAUAAUUGUAGUCGGCAACUAGAAAAUUUAUCCAGAGUGGCGGCGACGCAACCGCCUUAGCGAUCAAAUAACACAGAGGAACGGAGAUAAAAAAAAAAAGCUUUACGCUUUAUCUUACACGCAGCGGCCAUGAGUAGGACAGAAGAAACAUCGGCUGGCUGCAUUGUCGGAAUCUGCUCU
This is a long non-coding RNA of Brassica napus (rape), 7143 nucleotides long. RefSeq lists it as uncharacterized. The record is from RefSeq and is a predicted model, not a curated record. The transcript has 4 exons. Lineage: Eukaryota; Viridiplantae; Streptophyta; Magnoliopsida; Brassicales; Brassicaceae.